Molecule: ribosomal RNA, 500 nt
Filed under: uncultured Glomeromycotina
Lineage: Eukaryota; Fungi; Glomeromycota
Description: partial small subunit ribosomal RNA
Rfam family: Eukaryotic small subunit ribosomal RNA
Source: RNAcentral
CCAAUAGCGUAUAUUAAAGUUGUUGCAGUUAAAAAGCUCGUAGUUGAAUUUCGGGGUCAGUAAGUUGGUCGUGCCACUGGUAUGUACUGGCUUUACUGAUUCCUCCUUCUUGUAGAACCGUAAUGCCAUUAAUUUGGUGUUGCGGGGAAACAGGACUGUUACUUUGAAAAAAUUAGAGUGUUUAAAGCAGGCUAACGCCUGAAUACAUUAGCAUGGAAUAAUGAAAUAGGACGUUCGAUCCUAUUUUGUUGGUUUCUAGGGUUGACGUAAUGAUUAAUAGGGAUAGUUGGGGGCAUUAGUAUUCAAUUGUCAGAGGUGAAAUUCUUGGAUUUAUUGAAGACUGACUACUGCGAAAGCAUUUGCCAAGGAUGUUUUCAUUAAUCAAGAACGAAAGUUAGGGGAUCGAAGACGAUCAGAUACCGUCGUAGUCUUAACCAUAAACUAUGCCGACUAGGGAUCGGAUGAUGUUAAUUUUUUAAUGACUCAUUCGGCGCCUUACG